CCUACGGGUGGCAGCAGUGAGGAAUAUUGGUCAAUGGACGGAAGUCUGAACCAGCCAUGCCGCGUGCAGGAAGACGGCUCUAUGAGUUGUAAACUGCUUUUGUACAAGGGUAAACCUGAAUACGUGUAUUCAGCUGAAAGUACUGUACGAAUAAGGAUCGGCUAACUCCGUGCCAGCAGCCGCGGUAAUACGGAGGAUCCAAGCGUUAUCCGGAUUUAUUGGGUUUAAAGGGUGCGUAGGCGGAUUGAUAAGUUAGAGGUGAAAUGUCCGAGCUUAACUCGGGAACUGCCUCUAAUACUGGUGGUCUAGAGAGUAGAUGCGGUAGGCGGAAUGUGUGGUGUAGCGGUGAAAUGCUUAGAGAUCAUACAGAACACCGAUUGCGAAGGCAGCUUACCAAUCUAUAACUGACGUUGAGGCACGAAAGCGUGGGGAGCAAACAGGAUUAGAUACCCCUGUAGUC
RNAcentral lists this ribosomal RNA (460 nucleotides) under uncultured bacterium. RNAcentral describes it as "partial 16S ribosomal RNA". It matches the Rfam family "Bacterial small subunit ribosomal RNA", at positions 338 to 795 of the family's 1533-position model. The record is from RNAcentral.